AAUUACCUAAACAGGAGUUAAGUAGAUUCUCCCGGGUCGUGUGUCCGACGCUGAGAGUCAAUCGGCUGACUUUUAGCGCCAACACAAUUUUGGCACGCCCGGUGGGACCACUUCAACCUCUACCAUGUCGAAAGCUGCCAAAAUCUCUGAAGAUAACGUCAUUGAGGUGACGGAAGCAGACCUCAAGGACGACCAUAAGGAAGAGCUGGAAAGGCAGAUAGCACAAUACCGG
This 232-nucleotide long non-coding RNA is filed under the name Setaria italica (foxtail millet). RNAcentral's name for it is "long non-coding RNA (SITA_LNC001350)". Lineage: Eukaryota; Viridiplantae; Streptophyta; Magnoliopsida; Poales; Poaceae. The record is from RNAcentral.